This 401-nucleotide ribosomal RNA is filed under the name uncultured bacterium. Its description in RNAcentral is "bacterial SSU rRNA". It matches the Rfam family "Bacterial small subunit ribosomal RNA", at positions 354 to 772 of the family's 1533-position model. The record is from RNAcentral.
GUGGGGAAUAUUGGACAAUGGGCGCAAGCCUGAUCCAGCCAUGCCGCGUGUGUGAUGAAGGCCUUAGGGUUGUAAAGCACUUUCACCGGAGAAGAUAAUGACGGUAUCCGGAGAAGAAGCCCCGGCUCACUUCGUGCCAGCAGCCGCGGUAAUACGAAGGGGGCUAGCGUUGUUCGGAAUUACUGGGCGUAAAGCGCACGUAGGCGGAUAUUUAAGUCAGGGGUGAAAUCCCAGAGCUCAACUCUGGAACUGCCUUUGAUACUGGGUAUCUUGAGUAUGGAAGAGGUAAGUGGAAUUGCGAGUGUAGAGGUGAAAUUCGUAGAUAUUCGCAGGAACACCAGUGGCGAAGGCGGCUUACUGGUCCAUAACUGACGCUGAGGUGCGAAAGCGUGGGGAGCAAA